RNAcentral lists this long non-coding RNA (2404 nucleotides) under Mus musculus (house mouse). Its description in RNAcentral is "long non-coding RNA chr7:91158599-91161003". Lineage: Eukaryota; Metazoa; Chordata; Mammalia; Rodentia; Muridae. The record is from RNAcentral.
GUGUGUGUGUGUGUGUGUGUGUGUGUAAGAGAUUUUUUAGCCUGAUCAACUUAGUACAAGGCAAAAGAUGAAAGAGAAGACAAUUUGUAUUUUUCCAAAGGAAAAGAGUCCAGUGAGGUUUUCUGUUGGAUCUACCUGUUCUAGGUUCCUAAUAGUUUUCCUCACAAGUGUCAUGACCUUCUCAUGGCUUUUCUUCUCCUUGGCAUUUCUCUAUGUAUUUUUACAGGAUGAAAUAUGUGACAGCCCUUUAAAUAUUGAGAGGUCCAUUACUGGAGGAAGGAUUAAAAUGACUGUGUGGCCACAAGAGCAUAAUCAGGAAGGCGGGUGCCAGUGAUGCAUAGAGAAUUUUAUGAUUUAAUAAAUAGGAACGUGUUGGGAGACAAGGCCUCUGUGACUGGAAUUGCUUAUGCAAUCACUUGUGACCAUUUCAUGGGGAUUAUUAUAACAAAGAUUUAGACAAUGGGAUGCAGGAGGCACGUAGGAGGGAAUGGUCAUCAUCUGUAGUCUUUAUUCUUACCCUGAGAUUCUAUUGUUCCAUGAUAUAUCCUUGUUCAUCUUCCUCCCAUUGUGACAACUAUGGGAAAUUCUGAAUAACUGUGGCCUGCAAAAUAUCUCUUGUGUGCCGGCUGCUUGUUCAUUCAGAAUUUUGUCAUUUCUUUGAGUGUAUGCAUGAGAGCACAAUUUAUUCAGAACAGUCACUCAGCAGUAAGGCACCGAGAUGCAUUGAUGAAGCUACAGUAAUUGAGGAUCUUACCCAAGUGUAACUCUCGGCCCCAGCUCAUGCAUAAUUCUCCUUCAGUAUGGAUUGUGCCUUUCUUGGCUAGCAAAUCGUGACCACCUUGGAAGAGCUGUAACUUUUAAUUAUAAGAGACACUUCUUGCUUUUAUAACGCAAACAAGAAAAUUGUUUGGUUAUUAUCUGGACAUAUUGAAGUUUUGAAUGCCAGUCUCCUUCAAGAGAAAUGAGAAUGUGAUGUAUCCUCCUUAUAGAUCUUGGUAAGAAUCAGGCUCUAUGAUUUCAAGGCUGUCCAGCAUUUAAAUGAUGAAUAAAGCAUUUCAUGUUUGAAAUUAGUGUUUUUGUUAAACCACUAUCCACGUUAAAAGAGUACUCAUGUCAAAGACAAAAAGCAAAACAAAUAAACAAACAAAACAAAAACAUAGUGAGGGGACUCAUCCAUUAACCAGAACACAAAACCAAACCAUGCCCAUUGUAUGGGAGGAGGAGGUCAGGUGCAAGGACAGAAAGGUGUGUGAGCUACAUGGUAACAGAGCUUCUCAUAUUUAAGCAUUUGGCCACAUUCCACGAGCAAAAUGACAGAGAAUCUUAACAUAGUAUAGGAAUGUGACUGACUGAUUGACACUCAGGCUUCAUCAGUAAGCCAUUCUAGUAGCUUUAAACAUGUAACUCUAGUAGGCCAUUAAUUAAUAAAACCAUGGAACCAAGGUUUCCUGGCCACCUUUCAAUUCAUUAGCUGGCCAUUAUUUCCAAAAGCCCAUUUAGAGAAGAAUGGUAUUAGGUGGCUGCUCAGAGAUAUUUGGAGUAGAUCAAACAGAAGGUGCCCUCAAAAGGGCUUUUGCAUAAGAAUACAAUAAAAAGAAAUUUGCAGUAUGUGUGUGACAUUUGACAGUAAAAAGAUCAGUCUGUAUAGAGCACUCAAAGAUUCAUGGCUGGAUAGCAGGCUUUAAUAUGAGAUUCAGAUUUAACAAUGAAAGAUAGAAAAGGAAAUGUAGAGGCCAGAGAGCUGUCUCAGCAGGAAAGAGUGCUUGCUGUGCAGCUGCUAGGACCUGAGCACCAAUCCCCCAAAACCCAUGUAAAUGCUGGGCAUGGUGUGCACAUACCUGCAACCCCAGCACUAUGAGUGUAUGUGGGAAGGGUGCAGAUAGGACAAGGGGAAGGGGUGUUUCUGGGACUUGUCUAUCAGCCUAGCUCUAGUUUUGGCGAGAGAGAUUCCAUCUCAAGAGGGUAAAGCAGAGUUAUGGAGCAGGAAGCCUGAAGUCCUCCAUUAUCCUCAGUUAUGUGCAUCUACACAUAUACACAUGUGCAUAAACUAUAUAAAUGCAGUGUGCAGAUGCACAGAAAAGAAGGGGAGGAUAGAAAGAAAAUGUAAGCAGGGACCAGGCAUGGAAGUAAAGUGAAUAAAUCAGUUUGAGUAUUCAUAAAUAAGCUGAAUUCAAAAUCACUUAUCACAUAUUUCCCUUGAGUACAGUAUUUAUUUUCUGGAAAAAAUAGUCUAGUUAAAAAAUGUUAUGCUGAGUGGAUUAGAUGUUGAUGGUAGAAGUUGUAGCAUCAUGUGUGACUAGACAGGCUUUAUAUAUAUUGGCAUAUUUCAUCCUUGAAGAACCCUAGAAGUACUAGCUUCAUUCCAAUCUUGCCAGUGGAGGAGCUGGGAAGAGAUCAGAGACAG